This 274-nucleotide ribosomal RNA is filed under the name uncultured bacterium. RNAcentral describes it as "partial 16S ribosomal RNA". It matches the Rfam family "Bacterial small subunit ribosomal RNA", at positions 523 to 796 of the family's 1533-position model. The record is from RNAcentral.
AUACGGAGGGUGCAAGCGUUAUUCGGAAUCACUGGGCGUAAAGGACGCGUAGGCGGGUUGGCAAGUCAGAUGUGAAAUCCUACAGCUUAACUGUAGAACUGCAUAUGAAACUGCUAACCUAGAGUAUGGGAGGGGGAGAUGGAAUUAGUGGUGUAGGGGUAAAAUCCGUAGAUAUCACUAGGAAUACCGAAAGCGAAGGCGAUCUCCUGGAACAUAACUGACGCUAAGGCGUGAAAGCGUGGGGAGCAAACAGGAUUAGAAACCCUAGUAGUCC